GGAACUGAAGCUCAUCAGGAUGAGCGCCCGGUUGAAGCCCGGGAGGCAGCAGGUUCGACUCCUGCGAGUUCCA
This 73-nucleotide transfer RNA is filed under the name Frankiaceae bacterium. RNAcentral describes it as "tRNA-Phe". It matches the Rfam family "tRNA". From Rfam's summary of the family: Transfer RNA (tRNA) molecules are approximately 80 nucleotides in length. Their secondary structure includes four short double-helical elements and three loops (D, anti-codon, and T loops). The record is from RNAcentral. Lineage: Bacteria; Bacillati; Actinomycetota; Actinomycetes; Frankiales; Frankiaceae.